GGGUCCGGACACACUGAGGAUUGACAGGCAAUAUUAAUACGUGUUUCGGCGCGUAUUAUGUUAAAUAUGCUAGUCCUUUCAUGAUUAUGUGAUAGGUGGUGCAUGGCCGUUCUUAGUUCGUGGAGUGAUCUGUCUGCUUAAUUGCGUUUCACUAAGAAUCUAUCAAUACGUGCGUUGCGGCACUUUGACCCCUCUCUGAGCGCGCGUCUUAGUUGCUUAGCUCGCACAAUUAGGUUCUGAAAGCAACGAACGUGACCGCAACCUCUUGUUGCCUUUAUACCAAACAUUUUUGCUGUUCUCAGCAUUAAUGCAAAAAGGCUUUUUAAACUAGAGGGACCGCUGUUACUUUCUUAAACCAGAGGAAGGUUGCGGCAAUAACAGGUCUGUGAUGCCCUUAGAUGUUCCGGGCUGCACACGUGCUACAAUGAUUGUUGCAGUGAGCAUCUCAUUUUUACACACCGCAUGCGCGAGUCCAUUUAUUCACUUCGGUGCUUUAAAUGUGUAUUUCUGCGCGCGGUAAAGCCUGCUUCGAGAGUAAGUGGGU
This 544-nucleotide ribosomal RNA is filed under the name Oridorsalis umbonatus. Its description in RNAcentral is "SSU rRNA". It matches the Rfam family "Eukaryotic small subunit ribosomal RNA", at positions 1220 to 1547 of the family's 1831-position model. Lineage: Eukaryota; Foraminifera; Rotaliida; Alabaminidae. The record is from RNAcentral.